UCCCAGUCCUCUGUCUCUCUUCACCCACCCUCCCCGAUGACGAGUAGAGCCACCAGUUCGUAGGCAAUCUACUCGUCGGCGGUGGAUCUGGCCUCUCUCGCUCUGGAGUCAUCAUCUCUCCCACCAUGCCCUCGUGCCCAGGGAAUUGAAACCUCUCCCCACAGCUGAUCUGCUGUUCCUCAAUCAGGUUUGAAGGGAUUUCAUGGAACCAGGAAGAGACUUUUAACGCUUAUGCUGCUGAGGAGCCUCCUCAACCAAAGCCAGAGUUUGAUUCAGGUUACAUGAAGGAUGGUUCGUCUCAAAAGGACUGCAGGAGCUGGAAGGGACAAGGGGAUACAGAAGAUGACUGGGGAGAAACCUAUAGUAAGACAAGGAUACCCGCUUUGUUUGUUGCUAGCAUCUCUAGGUAUGCUUCUGGUUGACGUGGAAAAUAUAAAUACGAGAAAGUUUACAAUAUAUUGUGGUAGUCUGCGGGAACUUUCCGCUGCAGUGGUGAAGUACGAUCCUUGAAGGGUAUACUUGGAUCAUUAAGUGUUGGCCAUGUGGUUUUUGUGGCAUGGUCGGAUGAUGAUGGUUUCCAAGAAACACGCAGGAAACUUGGUAUUAGAUACUGCUAUAACAGAUCUUCUGCUUUGUACGCUAUUGUUGACCCAUUUAAGGAAGAAGCUGACAAGUCUAGCCAUCAACUAAGUGAGCAUAUCCGUCUUUGGUAACAUUAAUUUAUUCAUUUUGUUCUUAUCCGUUCCCAGAUGCACAUUUUUUAUAUGUUUGAGGACUUCAUGUUAAUUUUUUAUGUUUUUAUUUCCUGUAUUACCUUAAACAAUUGCAAAUCACAUAUAUGUCAAAAGAUCUUUUCUGUACAAGUUAACAAGAUUGGUUACUUUCUUUUUUAAUUUUUCAUUAUAUGAAGAGAAGCUUGUCCAACAUCGUUUGAGAUGAUUUGGACAUAUUCAGUGCAGGCCUCCAGAAGUUCCAGUGCAUAGCGGACGUCUAAAGCGUGCGGAGAAUGCCAAGAGAGGUCGGGGUAGACCGAAUUUGACAUGGGAGGAGUCCCUUAAGAGAGACCUGGAUGAUUGAAGUAUCACCAAAGAACUAGCUACAGACAGAGGUGCGUGGAAGCUUGCUAUCCAUGUGCCAGAGCCAUGAGUUGGUUGCGAGAUCUGUUGUUGUUGUUGUUGUUGUUGUUGUUGCUGGUGUUGCUAUUGUGUUGUUGUUCUUGUUCUGGUUCUUGUUGUUGUUGUUGUUGUUGUUGUUGUUGUUGUUGUUGUUGUUGUUGUUGUUGU
Molecule: long non-coding RNA, 1283 nt
Organism: Triticum aestivum (bread wheat)
Lineage: Eukaryota; Viridiplantae; Streptophyta; Magnoliopsida; Poales; Poaceae
Exons: 2
Source: RefSeq, a predicted model, not a curated record